CUAAACAGAGCAAGAGAAGGGAAACCCUCCUACAAACCCAAAUCAAUGAAUUGAACAUCAAUUGAAGUCCGAGUGCGUGCAUGAUUCGAGAUUAACGUUCAUCCAAUCAUAACUAACAUAAGGUAACUUGGGUGAAGCUUCGGGAAGUCAAGCCGGAACAAACACACGUUUAAAAGAGAAGCUUUAAGUUUCAGGUAAAUUACAAACACUUUUGGGAUGAAGAUCAAGCCAAGAUAAGGAAUCGAACAGGUCGAAGAUCUUGUUUUCGCACCUUUUGUUAAUCUCACGUUAAUGAAUUAAUCAAUUAAUGGAAAUGUAAUAGUUAUGUAGCUAAAUACAUGUUCAAGACAAUAUUGUUAUGUAUUAACUAUCAUAUUUCCAUAUGAUGA
This is a long non-coding RNA of Helianthus annuus (common sunflower), 389 nucleotides long. RefSeq lists it as uncharacterized. The record is from RefSeq and is a predicted model, not a curated record. Lineage: Eukaryota; Viridiplantae; Streptophyta; Magnoliopsida; Asterales; Asteraceae. The transcript has 3 exons.